RNAcentral lists this ribosomal RNA (400 nucleotides) under Pedinellales sp. RNAcentral describes it as "partial small subunit ribosomal RNA". It matches the Rfam family "Eukaryotic small subunit ribosomal RNA", at positions 583 to 975 of the family's 1831-position model. The record is from RNAcentral. Lineage: Eukaryota; Dictyochophyceae; Pedinellales.
UUCCAGCUCCAAUAGCGUAUAUUAAUGUUGUUGCAGUUAAAAAGCUCGUAGUUGGAUUUCUGGUCGGGACGUCUGGCCGGCUCCGCAAGGGGUUGUUGCAUUGACUGUACUCGUCCAUCCUCAGGUUGACUAGCUCUGGUAUUUAUUUAUUGGUGUUAGAACGCCUGUCGUUUACUGUGAACAAAUUAGAGUGUUCAAAGCAAGGUGUACUUGAAUACAUUAGCAUGGAAUAAUAAGAUAGGACUUUGGUGGUUCUUUUUGAUAUUUUGUUGGUUUGCACGCCAAAGUAAUGAUUAAUAGGAGCAGUUGGGGGUAUUCGUAUUCAAUUGUCAGAGGUGAAAUUCUUGGAUUUAUAGAAGACGAACUACUGCGAAAGCAUUUACCAAGGAUGUUUUCAUUG